GUCUAUGGCUAUCCCAUCCUGAAUGUGUCUGUUCUCCUCUGAUCUCAGAUGCUAAGCAGGGUCGGAUCUGGUUAGCAUUUGAAUGGGAAAGAGUCCAGAAAGUUGGAUU
Molecule: ribosomal RNA, 109 nt
Organism: Propithecus coquereli (Coquerel's sifaka)
Lineage: Eukaryota; Metazoa; Chordata; Mammalia; Primates; Indriidae
Source: Ensembl